Anaerolineaceae bacterium 4572_32.1 is the source of this 75-nucleotide non-coding RNA. The record is from Rfam. NCBI's taxonomy places the organism in Bacteria, Bacillati, Chloroflexota, Anaerolineae, Anaerolineales, Anaerolineaceae.
CGGGGCGUAGCUCAGUCCGGUUGGAGCGCGCGGUUUGGGACCGCGAGGCCGGCGGUUCAAGUCCGCCCGCCCCGA